GAUGAACGCUGGCGGCGUGCCUCAAACAUGCAAGUCGAGCGGGGCUAUGUAAUAUCGCAAGGUAGAACAUAGCCUAGCGGCGAACGGGUGAGUAACACGUGGGUAACCUGCCUGGAAGACAGGGAUAACGAUUCGAAAGGGUCGCUAAUACCUGAUAAUAUCCUUUCAUCGCAUGGUGAUAGGAAGAAAGGGGAAACCCGCUUUCAGAUGGGCCCGCGUCCCAUCAGCUAGUUGGUAAGGUAAAGGCUUACCAAGGCGACGACGGGUAGCCGGUCUGAGAGGAUGUACGGCCACACUGGGACUGAGACACGGCCCAGACUCCGUACGGGGGGCAGCAGUAGGGAAUUUUCGGCAAUGGGCGAAAGCCUGACCGAGCGACGCCGCGUGAGGGACGAAGGCCUUCGGGUUGUAAACCUCUGUCUGGGGGGAUGAGAACGGACGGUACCCCCGGAGGAAGCCCCGGCUAACUACGUGCCAGCAGCCGCGGUAAUGAGUAGUCA
RNAcentral lists this ribosomal RNA (500 nucleotides) under uncultured bacterium. RNAcentral describes it as "bacterial SSU rRNA". It matches the Rfam family "Bacterial small subunit ribosomal RNA", at positions 28 to 533 of the family's 1533-position model. The record is from RNAcentral.